RNAcentral lists this long non-coding RNA (412 nucleotides) under Pan troglodytes (chimpanzee). Its description in RNAcentral is "long non-coding RNA NONPTRT016446". Lineage: Eukaryota; Metazoa; Chordata; Mammalia; Primates; Hominidae. The record is from RNAcentral.
ACGAGUAACCCGGGGAGACACCAGAACCGGGACGGGCUUUGACUGAUUUGCCUGCGAGGGUUCCGUAGGAAAGGACGCUUGAACUCGGCGCUUCGGCGGCGGCGGCGGCGCGAGUUCCCUGCUCACCCUCCCUCUCCGCGGAAGUCCCCACGAGGUGGCUUCAGGGUGUAACAGAGCGCGCGGCUCCAGUCCGAAGGCAGCGGCCGGGGGAGGGAAGGAGGGGACCGAACCCCCGAGGAGUUUCCCAGAAUCAACUUCUGGUUAGAGUUAUGGGAAGCGCGGUUAUGGACACCAAGAAGAAAAAAGAUGUUUCCAGCCCCGGCGGGAGCGGCGGCAAGAAAAAUGCCAGCCAGAAGAGGCGUUCGCUGCGCGUGCACAUUCCGCACUCUCAACGCCCUGCGAGCGCCGACGG